GUGCCAGCCGUCGCGGUAAUACGUAGGUGGCAAGCGUUAUCCGGAAUUAUUGGGCGUAAAGCGCGCGCAGGUGGUUUCUUAAGUCUGAUGUGAAAGCCCACGGCUCAACCGUGGAGGGUCAUUGGAAACUGGGAGACUUGAGUGCAGAAGAGGAAAGUGGAAUUCCAUGUGUAGCGGUGAAGUGCGUUGGGAUAUGGGGGAACACAAGUGGGGAAGGCGACGUUCUGGUCUG
RNAcentral lists this ribosomal RNA (232 nucleotides) under uncultured bacterium. RNAcentral describes it as "partial 16S rRNA". It matches the Rfam family "Bacterial small subunit ribosomal RNA", at positions 505 to 736 of the family's 1533-position model. The record is from RNAcentral.